GCCGUAAUGCGGCUUAUCGAGUUUUCGGUAAACGGUCACAAGCCCGUGUAAACGCAGAGUGAGGA
Molecule: non-coding RNA, 65 nt
Filed under: unclassified sequences
Source: RNAcentral